AUACGGAGGGGGCUAGCGUUGUUCGGAAUUACUGGGCGUAAAGGGCGCGUAGGCGGAUUGUCAAGUCAGAGGUGAAAGCCCUAGGCUCAACCUGGGAACUGCCUUUGAUACUAACAGUCUAGAGGCCGAGAGAGGAUGGCGGAAUUCCCAGUGUAGAGGUGAAAUUCGUAGAUAUUGGGAAGAACACCAGUGGCGAAGGCGGCCAUCUGGAUCGGUUCUGACGCUGAGGCACGAAAGCGUGGGGAGCGAACAGGAUUAGAAACCCCAGUAGUCC
This 274-nucleotide ribosomal RNA is filed under the name uncultured bacterium. Its description in RNAcentral is "partial 16S ribosomal RNA". It matches the Rfam family "Bacterial small subunit ribosomal RNA", at positions 523 to 796 of the family's 1533-position model. The record is from RNAcentral.